Molecule: ribosomal RNA, 468 nt
Filed under: uncultured bacterium
Lineage: Bacteria
Description: partial 16S ribosomal RNA
Rfam family: Bacterial small subunit ribosomal RNA
Source: RNAcentral
GACGAACGCUGGCGGCGUGCUUAACACAUGCAAGUCGAACGGAAAGGCCCUGCUUUUGUGGGGUGCUCGAGUGGCGAACGGGUGAGUAACACGUGAGUAACCUGCCCUUGACUUUGGGAUAACUUCAGGAAACUGGGGCUAAUACCGGAUAGGAGCUCCUGCUGCAUGGUGGGGGUUGGAAAGUUUCGGCGGUUGGGGAUGGACUCGCGGCUUAUCAGCUUGUUGGUGGGGUAGUGGCUUACCAAGGCUUUGACGGGUAGCCGGCCUGAGAGGGUGACCGGCCACAUUGGGACUGAGAUACGGCCCAGACUCCUACGGGAGGCAGCAGUGGGGAAUAUUGCACAAUGGGCGGAAGCCUGAUGCAGCAACGCCGCGUGCGGGAUGACGGCCUUCGGGUUAUAAACCGCUUUCGCCUGUGACGAAGCGUGGGUGACGGUAAUGGGUAAAGAAGCACCGGCUAACUACGUG